AGGGGACCCUCUCUGCCCU
This 19-nucleotide microRNA is filed under the name Equus caballus (horse). RNAcentral describes it as "eca-miR-8966". Lineage: Eukaryota; Metazoa; Chordata; Mammalia; Perissodactyla; Equidae. The record is from miRBase by way of RNAcentral.